GCUCCCGGGUGACGAGCGGCGGACGGGUGAGUAUUCUGGGAAACUGCCUGAUGGAGGGGGAUAACUACUGGAAACGGUAGCUAAUACCGCAUAACGUCGCAAGACCAAAGAGGGGGACCUUCGGGCCUCUUGCCAUCAGAUGUGCCCAGAUGGGAUUAGCUAGUAGUGGGGUAACGGCUCACCUAGGCGACGAUCCCUAGCUGGUCUGAGAGGAUGACCAGCCACACUGGAACUGAGACACGGUCCAGACUCCUACGGGAGGCAGCAGUGGGGAAUAUUACACAAUGGGCGCAAGCCUGAUGCAGCCAUGCCGCGUGUAUGAAGAAGGCCUUCGGGUUGUAAAGUACUUUCAGCGGGGAGGAAGGUGUUGUGGUUAAUAACCACAGCAAUUGACGUUACCCGCAGAAGAAGCACCGGCUAACUCCGUGCCAGCAGCCGCGGUAAUACGGAGGGUGCAAGCGUUAAUCGGAAUUACUGGGCGUAAGCGCACGCAGGCGGUCUGUCAAGUCGGGAUGUGAAAUCCCCCGGGCUCAAACCUUGGGAACUUGGAUUCGAAACUGGGCAGGCUAAAGUCUUGGUAAAGGGGGGUAAAAAUUUCCC
RNAcentral lists this ribosomal RNA (600 nucleotides) under uncultured bacterium. Its description in RNAcentral is "bacterial SSU rRNA". It matches the Rfam family "Bacterial small subunit ribosomal RNA", at positions 80 to 673 of the family's 1533-position model. The record is from RNAcentral.